GAGAAGCUCUGUGAAGAAAUGGUCC
This 25-nucleotide non-coding RNA is filed under the name Rattus norvegicus (Norway rat). Lineage: Eukaryota; Metazoa; Chordata; Mammalia; Rodentia; Muridae. The record is from RNAcentral.